CCCUUAGAUGUCCUGGGCUGCACGCGCGCUACACUGAUGCAUUCAACGAGUAAUCUUUGACCUUGGUCGACAGAUCUGGGUAAUCUUUUGAAAUUGCAUCGUGAUGGGGCUUGCGGGUUGCAAUUACCCGCACCAACGAGGAAUUCCUAGUAAACGCAAGUCAUCAACUUGCAUUGAUUACGUCCCUGCCCUUUGUACACACCGCCCGUCGCUCCUACCGAUUGAGCGGUCCGGUGAAGACUCAGGAGAUGGGCGCGUGCUUGGUUCGCCAACUGCGCUGCCUGCCAAAUUUGUCUAAACCUUAUCGCUUAGAGGAAGGAGAAGUCGUAACA
Molecule: ribosomal RNA, 332 nt
Filed under: uncultured eukaryote
Lineage: Eukaryota
Description: partial 18S ribosomal RNA
Rfam family: Eukaryotic small subunit ribosomal RNA
Source: RNAcentral